RNAcentral lists this long non-coding RNA (336 nucleotides) under Mus musculus (house mouse). RNAcentral's name for it is "predicted gene 10322 (ENSMUSG00000071280.3)". The record is from RNAcentral. Lineage: Eukaryota; Metazoa; Chordata; Mammalia; Rodentia; Muridae.
UCCCGGGGUGCUCUCCGGGGACAGUUCCCAGCAGCAUGGCACUGCCACUCUCCUGACACACCGGCAACCGCGGCAACUCCGGACGCUCCAACCCGCCCAGAGGAGGUGAGAAGGGGACAACUUGCACCGGGCUCAGUUCGGGAGCAUUGGAGCAAAGCUGUCAGAAACGACGGAAGGAGGGACCGAGCCCGGAGGCGGGUCAGGGAGAGGUUCAAGUCCCGUGCCUUCCCCGCCCUGGCGUCCCCAGUCCUGCGGGAACAUCCCUGCUGUCGCCCCUCCUCCUCCUCUCCUGCCUCCCGCCCGCCCUGCCUUCUCCGCCGCCGCCGCAGGCGCUGA